AAAUUUGGUGAUUUACAAUAACUUAGCAAAUCGCAUAGUGAAAACUGGCGAUAAAUCAUUCAAGUUUCUGACCUAUCAGCUUUCGACGGUAUGGUAUUGGCUUACCGUGGCAGUGACGGUUAACGGGGGAUUAGGGUUCGAUUCCGGAGAGGGAGCCUGAGAAACGGCUACCACAUCUAAGGAAGGCAGCAGGCGCGCAAAUUACCCAAUUCUAACAGCAUGAGAGAGGUAGUGACAAGAAAUAACAAUACAAGGCAGUUAAAAUGCUUUGUAAUUGGAAUGAUAGAAAUUUAAACACUUUUUAAAGUAUCAAUUGGAGGGCAAGUCUGGUGCCAGCAGCCGCGGUAAUUCCAGCUCCAAUAGCGUAUAUUAAAAUUGUUGCAGUUAAAAAGCUCGUAGUUGAAUUUCUGUUAAAAAUAACCGGUCUGCUUUUAAUAAAAGUGGUAUCUUGGUGUGUUUUUAGCAAUAAUGUCCUUUGAAAUGUUUUUUACUUUAUUGUAAUAGAUUAUAUUCAGGAUUUUUACUUUGAGAAAAUUAGAGUGUUUCUAGCAGGCUAACGCUUUGAAUACU
Molecule: ribosomal RNA, 570 nt
Filed under: Hepatozoon felis
Lineage: Eukaryota; Apicomplexa; Hepatozoidae
Description: bacterial SSU rRNA
Rfam family: Eukaryotic small subunit ribosomal RNA
Source: RNAcentral